GUGAGGAAUAUUGGACAAUGGGCGAAAGCCUGAUCCAGCCAUGCCGCGUGUGUGAAGAAGGUCUUCGGAUUGUAAAGCACUUUAAGUUGGGAGGAAGGGCAGUAAGUUAAUACCUUGCUGUUUUGACGUUACCGACAGAAUAAGCACCGGCUAACUUCGUGCCAGCAGCCGCGGUAAUACGAAGGGUGCAAGCGUUAAUCGGAAUUACUGGGCGUAAAGCGCGCGUAGGUGGUUUUGUAAGUUGGAGGUGAAAUCCCCGGGCUCAACCUGGGAACUGCCUACAAAACUGCAUGACUAGAGUACGGUAGAGGGUAGUGGAAUUUCCUGUGUAGCGGUGAAAUGCGUAGAUAUAGGAAGGAACACCAGUGGCGAAGGCGACUACCUGGACUGAUACUGACACUGAGGUGCGAAAGCGUGGGGAGCAAACAGGAUUAGAUACCCUAGUAGUCC
RNAcentral lists this ribosomal RNA (450 nucleotides) under uncultured bacterium. RNAcentral describes it as "partial 16S ribosomal RNA". It matches the Rfam family "Bacterial small subunit ribosomal RNA", at positions 354 to 796 of the family's 1533-position model. The record is from RNAcentral.